GCAUAUCAAUAAGCGGAGGAAAAGAAACCAACAGGGAUUGCCCUAGUAACGGCGAGUGAAGCGGCAACAGCUCAAAUUUGAAAGCUAGCCUUCGGGUUCGCAUUGUAAUUUGUAGAGGAUGCUUUGGGUAAAACGCCAGUCUAAGUUCCUUGGAACAGGACGUCAUAGAGGGUGAGAAUCCCGUAUGUGACUGGAAAUGUUAACCUAUGUAAAGCUCCUUCGACGAGUCGAGUUGUUUGGGAAUGCAGCUCUAAAUGGGAGGUAAAUUUCUUCUAAAGCUAAAUAUUGGCGAGAGACCGAUAGCGCACAAGUAGAGUGAUCGAAAGAUGAAAAGCACUUUGGAAAGAGAGUUAAAAAGCACGUGAAAUUGUUGAAAGGGAAGCGCUUGCAAUCAGACUUGUUUAAACUGUUCGGCCGGUCUUCUGACCGGUUUACUCAGUUUGGACAGGCCAGCAUCAGUUUCGGCGGCCGGAUAAAGGCAUUGGGAAUGUGGCCUUCACUUCGGUGGAGGUGUUAUAGCCCAGUGUGUAAUACGGCCAGCCGGGACUGAGGUCCGCGCUUCGGCUAGGAUGCUGGCGUAAUGGUUGUAAGCGACCCGUCUUGAAACACGGACCAAGGAGUCUAACAUCUAUGCGAGUGUUCGGGUGUCAAACCCCUGCGCGUAAUGAAAGUGAACGGAGGUGGGAACCGCAAGGUGCACCAUCGACCGAUCCUGAUGUCUUCGGAUGGAUUUGAGUAAGAGCAUAGCUGUUGGGACCCGAAAGAUGGUGAACUAUGCCUGAAUAGGGUGAAGCCAGAGGAAACUCUGGUGGAGGCUCGCAGCGGUUCUGACGUGCAAAUCGAUCGUCAAAUUUGGGUAUAGGGGCGAAAGACUAAUCGAACCAUCUAGUAGCUGGUUCCUGC
Molecule: ribosomal RNA, 903 nt
Filed under: Aureobasidium leucospermi
Lineage: Eukaryota; Fungi; Ascomycota; Dothideomycetes; Dothideales; Saccotheciaceae
Description: LSU rRNA
Rfam family: Eukaryotic large subunit ribosomal RNA
Source: RNAcentral